RNAcentral lists this long non-coding RNA (863 nucleotides) under Homo sapiens (human). RNAcentral describes it as "HSALNT0403193". The record is from RNAcentral. Lineage: Eukaryota; Metazoa; Chordata; Mammalia; Primates; Hominidae.
ACUCUAUUAUCUUUGCUCAAAGAGCAGACAGUGCUCUAGCUGUUUUCCCCUGCUUAGCUUUGAUCCCUGCAGCCAUGCUCAGCCCUUCCCCCAAGCCCUCCCUUCCAGAUGGAUUGAGGCUGUUGAGACUCCAGGGGUGUUCGGGGCUGGGAGCCUGCUGAGUGUUCCCUGUUCCCACCUCCAAUCUGCUCCAUCCUCCAGCUGCAUUUCAUUCCGGAUCUACCAGAGUCUUAUUCUGUCACCUAGGCUGGAGUACAGUGGUGCAAUCACAGCUCACUGCAGCCUCGAUCUCCUGGACUCAACUAAUCCUCCUGCCUCAGCCUUCUGGGUAGUUGAGACUACAGAUACAGAAGAUGAGAGAGAGAAAAAGAGAGAAAUUACAGAGUGACGGAGAAGGCAGACAUCAUGCAACAUGCUCAAGGGCUAUUCAUUUUAAGCUGAAACAUACAUGUGUAGAAAGCAUCCUUGUACUUAUAAUCCCAAUGACUAUGAAGAAAAAUAAUUUAGCCAAAUAGUUCCUAGAACAGGAAAAAUAAGGAAUUAUAUUUUGAGAUAAGAAGUUAAGCUCUAGUAUAACAAUGAUAUGGGUCAAAGAAAAAUGAAAACAAAUUUUAAAAACGUUGCAACAUGAAUAAAAGUUUCACCAAAUCGGGAGUCUAUUAUAAGCAUGUUUUGAGUUAUUUUCUUUCCCAAAGACUUCAUUUUUGUUUCAAUUUAUUUCAGUAGUAUACACUUCUGAAAAUAUUUAACUAAUGUCGUACUGGUUCUCGUAAAAGGUGAGGUGGAGCAAUUCCAUUAAGCUAUAGUGAGGUGAAGAGAGAAUAUCUGGUGAAUGAAUUUGAAAUAAGCUCCUUCGCGAUAUG